AUUGAACGCUGGCGGCAUGCUUUACACAUGCAAGUCGAACGGUAACAGCACUUCGGUGGCUGACGAGUGGCGAACGGGUGAGUAAUACAUCGGAACGUGCCUAGUAGUGGGGGAUAACUACUCGAAAGAGUAGCUAAUACCGCAUGAGAUCUAAGGAUGAAAGCAGGGGACCUUCGGGCCUUGCGCUACUAGAGCGGCUGAUGGCAGAUUAGGUAGUUGGUGGGAUAAAAGCUUACCAAGCCGACGAUCUGUAGCUGGUCUGAGAGGACGACCAGCCACACUGGGACUGAGACACGGCCCAGACUCCUACGGGAGGCAGCAGUGGGGAAUUUUGGACAAUGGGCGCAAGCCUGAUCCAGCAAUGCCGCGUGCAGGAUGAAGGCCUUCGGGUUGUAAACUGCUUUUGUACGGAACGAAAAGCCCUCUUCUAAUACAGGAGGGUCAUGACGGUACCAUAAGAAUAAGCACCGGCUAACUACGUG
RNAcentral lists this ribosomal RNA (482 nucleotides) under uncultured bacterium. RNAcentral describes it as "partial 16S ribosomal RNA". It matches the Rfam family "Bacterial small subunit ribosomal RNA", at positions 30 to 507 of the family's 1533-position model. The record is from RNAcentral.